This 378-nucleotide long non-coding RNA is filed under the name Rattus norvegicus (Norway rat). RNAcentral describes it as "long non-coding RNA NONRATT029021". Lineage: Eukaryota; Metazoa; Chordata; Mammalia; Rodentia; Muridae. The record is from RNAcentral.
AGCUCCUUUCCUGGGUGGGCGGCCAGUUCCCCUGGGUCUUGCAGGACUACGUGUCCCCAGUCUUGGACCUCAACAAUCCAGCAGUCUUCCGGGACCUGUCCAAACCCAUCGGUGUGGUGAACCCCAAACAUGCCCAGCUCGUGAGGGAGAAGUGAGCACACGGGCAGGGCAGGGCUCCAUGGGCUGGAGAUGGGUGGGCGUAGGUCUUCUGCUGACUUGUGUCCCCCGUGGCUUCAGAUAUGAGAGCUUUGAGGACCCAGCAGGCACAAUCGACAAGUUCCAUUACGGCACGCACUAUUCCAAUGCAGCAGGCGUGAUGCACUACCUCAUCCGUGUGGAACCCUUCACCUCCCUGCACGUCCAGCUACAGAGCGGCCG